GGGCCGUUAGCUCAAUUGGCAGAGCAGCGGACUUUUAAUCCGUUGGUUGUGGGUUCGAGUCCCACACGGCCUACCG
This 76-nucleotide transfer RNA is filed under the name Streptomyces armeniacus. RNAcentral describes it as "tRNA-Lys". It matches the Rfam family "tRNA". Rfam says of the family: Transfer RNA (tRNA) molecules are approximately 80 nucleotides in length. Their secondary structure includes four short double-helical elements and three loops (D, anti-codon, and T loops). The record is from RNAcentral. Lineage: Bacteria; Bacillati; Actinomycetota; Actinomycetes; Kitasatosporales; Streptomycetaceae. RNAcentral also lists the same sequence under 11 other names.